UACGUAGGCAGCAAGCGUUGUUCGGAGUUACUGGGCGUAAGGGGUGUGUAGGCGGUUUUUUAAGUUUGGUGUGAAAUCUCCCGGCUCAACUGGGAGGGUGCGCCGAAUACUGAAAGACUAGAGUGCGGGAGAGGAAAGUGGAAUUCCUGGUGUAGCGGUGAAAUGCGUAGAUAUCAGGAGGAACACCGGUGGUGUAGACGGCUUUCUGGACCGUAACUGACGCUGAGACACGAAAGCGUGGGUAGCAAACAGG
RNAcentral lists this ribosomal RNA (253 nucleotides) under uncultured bacterium. RNAcentral describes it as "partial 16S ribosomal RNA". It matches the Rfam family "Bacterial small subunit ribosomal RNA", at positions 524 to 776 of the family's 1533-position model. The record is from RNAcentral.